UUUAUAAUAUAUAUAUAUAAAUAUUUUGUGAUCAAACUUAGGGAUUAAUAAAAAAUUAGUUAUUCUUACUAAUCCAUCCUCAAAACCAACCACUAAGUCUUAUAGCUUAAUCUUUUGUCAUUUUGUUUAGGUAUAUAAUACUAAGAUGCCAUGCCUUAGAUGGAUCAUAUAAUCUUAGUUUCACCAGUUCCUAUUAGGACACCUGUUUUGCAGAAGUGGGCUAAGUAUGGACUCCUUAAUUAAUUAACUGAUUUGAUAUUCUGGUACAGAACAAUAUCAACUUGCAUAACCAUAAACCAUUAUCUUAACUUUAACCAAUCAUAUCCAAUCCUAACUCCCUAUAAAUACCCUUCUUCUUCAUGUCUUCAUUCCUCAGAAUUCUUUUCUCUCUUUUGCUUGUUGGGGUCCAAAUCUUCUUUCUGUUGAAUUUCCCUUUGUAAGUAUCUGCUUUUACCCUAGCAUAUCUAUUUUUACCCUAGUAUUUUUUUUUACCUAAGUGGGUAUUUGACUAUAUAGCUGCAGAAAUAAUUUACUGAGGUGGGUUUUGUUCAAGUUCUUUAAUUGCUUUCUUCUUUUUUUUUUUUUUUUUUUGUUUUGUUUUGUUUUGUUUUUGCUUACUUCUGCUUGAUGGGUUAUGUUCUUUUUUAGGGUUUAGUGUUGGUUCAAUUUUUCUUGGGGCAGAUCUCAAGGCCUUGACAGUAAUCAGUCAGUAUUGGCGGAUGCGGCAUCAUCAAGAUUCACAUAAGCUUUUUUAAUAGUUUGAUCAAUGGAGGAUGAGGGAGGGGUCUCCUUUUGCUCCAAAGAGCUCUCUUUCUUAUAUGAGAAUCUUGAUGAUGCUGCAUCAGCAAAUAUAUGACUAUUCUUCUCCUUUACCUUCAAUUCCAACCUUCAGAGGAUACAAUAUGCAUGUCCCAGUUUUGAUAUGAAAGAUUGAUCAUGAUGCCUUUCUUACUUGGUAGAGGUUGCCUAUGUUUGGAUGGGGUCUUUUCAAAGUUUUAGAAUCAACUCUUGUUUGAGAAGGGAGCAACAAUUAAGAGAAACUAAAAUUGGAGGGAGUGAAGCCUUGCUCUAUACAUGCUGCUCCAUGUAGGACCUUGUCAAAGUUUGAGGGGGAAGCAAUGGCAGAUCCUGCAAUUUACAAGAGUACUGUUGGUGCAUUACAAUAUCUGACUUUGAUAAGACCUGAAAUUGUGUAUAUUGUGAGUAAAUUGAGCCAAUCUCUACAUAGUCCAACUUCAAUUCACUAGCAGGCUUGCAAAAGAGUUUUAAGGUACUUAAAAGGAACAGUGACACAUGAGAUUUCGUUCAAGCUAGGCAAAAGUCUGUCACUGAGUGCCUUUGCUGAUACUGAUUGGGUCGGCUGUCCUGAUGAUAGAUGUUCUACAAGUGCUUACUAUGUAUACAUAGCUCCCACUCUAGUUUUAUGGAACUCUAAGAAACAAACGGUUGUUUCUAGAUCAAGCACAGAGUUUAAGUAUAGAGCUCUUCCGUAAGUGGCUACUGAGAUAUGCUGGUUAAGGUCUCUAAUGGAUGAGUUGGGUAUUAAGUUGUGUUCCUCUUCUAUGGUUUGGUGCGAUAAUAUUGGAACAACUUCUCUUGCAGCUAAUCCAGUAUAUCAUGCAAGGACCAAGCACAUAGAAAUUGAUGAACACUUUGUAAGAGACAUGGUAAUGAGAAGGCAGUUAAACCAAAUAUGUUCAUACAAGUGAGUAGAUAACAAAUGUAUUGACUAAAGGAGUAUCAAUCUCCAGAUUCCUCAUAAUUAAGGACAAGCAAGUAAAUUCUAAGGUGUCGUAACUAUAGUGACUUUUUAAUAUCUUUAUGUAUUUAUUGAAUAAAAAUUAUAAAAUUCUAGAUUAAUUUAUAUAGAAAGCUUUUUUUCUGGAGAAAAUUUACAUAAAAAUAUUUUAGCAUAUAAUUUUAUAUAAAAGUUACAUAUUAAAAUAUUUUAUAUAUAUAUUUAUUCCAAAUUUUAUAAAUUUUCUUUAAAUAAACAUAUAAAAGUAUUAAAAAGUCAUUGUAACUACAACAUUUUAGAAUUCAUUUAAGAAGCAAGAAAAAUAAUAAGAAAGAAAGAGUACAAGCGCAAUAAUAACUACUAAGUGAUAAAAGAAAAUAAAUAAAUAAA
Long non-coding RNA from Ricinus communis (castor bean), 2128 nucleotides. RefSeq lists it as uncharacterized. The record is from RefSeq and is a predicted model, not a curated record. The transcript has 3 exons. Lineage: Eukaryota; Viridiplantae; Streptophyta; Magnoliopsida; Malpighiales; Euphorbiaceae.